RNAcentral lists this ribosomal RNA (247 nucleotides) under uncultured bacterium. Its description in RNAcentral is "partial 16S ribosomal RNA". It matches the Rfam family "Bacterial small subunit ribosomal RNA", at positions 526 to 779 of the family's 1533-position model. The record is from RNAcentral.
CGUAGGUGCAAGCGUUAUCCGGAAUUAUUGGCGUAAGGGCUCGUAGGCGGUUCGUCGCGUCCGGUGUGAAGUCCAUCGCUUAACGGUGGAUCCGCGCCGGUACGGCGGGCUUGAGUGCGGUAGGGAGACUGGAAUUCCCGGUGUAACGGUGGAAUGUGUAGAUAUCGGGAAGAACACCAAUGGCGAAGGCAGGUCUCUGGGCCGUUACUGACGCUGAGGAGCGAAAGCGUGGGGAGCGAACAGGAUU